CUGAGAGUCACCAGCACAUGGAAGCAGGUGAAUAAAUCCUCCUGCACCAGAUUUGAUCCCUUCCUCAUCGCAGGAAACCAGCCCCUCCCACCUACACUGAUUGGAGGACUUGCCAGGGG
Molecule: long non-coding RNA, 119 nt
Organism: Xenopus laevis (African clawed frog)
Lineage: Eukaryota; Metazoa; Chordata; Amphibia; Anura; Pipidae
Exons: 3
Source: RefSeq, a predicted model, not a curated record